Long non-coding RNA from Thalassophryne amazonica, 139 nucleotides. RefSeq lists it as uncharacterized. Lineage: Eukaryota; Metazoa; Chordata; Actinopteri; Batrachoidiformes; Batrachoididae. The transcript has 3 exons. The record is from RefSeq and is a predicted model, not a curated record.
UGUUGUUAUUUGUUUUGUUUUUUGUUUUUGCCCUAGUGUUUCUGGAUGUUUACGUCUUCCAAGUCAGAUGUCCUGGUUUAGACCUGUAUUCUCUGUUGUGAUCUUUGACCCUGCUGUUUGAUUUUUGGACUUUGUGCUU